AGUGAACGCUGGCGGUAGGCCUAACACAUGCAAGUCGAACGGCAGCACAGUAAGAGCUUGCUCUUACGGGUGGCGAGUGGCGGACGGGUGAGGAAUACAUCGGAAUCUACUUUUUCGUGGGGGAUAACGUAGGGAAACUUACGCUAAUACCGCAUACGACCUACGGGUGAAAGCAGGGGAUCUUCGGACCUUGCGCGAUUGAAUGAGCCGAUGUCGGAUUAGCUAGUUGGCGGGGUAAAGGCCCACCAAGGCGACGAUCCGUAGCUGGUCUGAGAGGAUGAUCAGCCACACUGGAACUGAGACACGGUCCAGACUCCUACGGGAGGCAGCAGUGGGGAAUAUUGGACAAUGGGCGCAAGCCUGAUCCAGCCAUACCGCGUGGGUGAAGAAGGCCUUCGGGUUGUAAAGCCCUGUUGUUGGGAAAGAAAAGCAGAAGGUUAAUACCCCGCUGUUCUGACGGUACCCAAAGAAUAAGCACCGGCUAACUUCGUG
Molecule: ribosomal RNA, 492 nt
Filed under: uncultured bacterium
Lineage: Bacteria
Description: partial 16S ribosomal RNA
Rfam family: Bacterial small subunit ribosomal RNA
Source: RNAcentral